CGUCACGACCUCCCCCGGACGAACGUCGAAAUUGAUGCCGUGAAGGAUGUGGGACUCGCCGUACCACGCCUCGAGAUUCUUGACGGUCAGGACCGGGGAGCCUGCGGCGUUAUUCAUGGCCGGCUCCAAGAUNNAGGCUUCCUUGACCUGCGGAUGCUUGGUGAGCGUGGCGUAGUCGCCUUCUGCCAGCACCUUGCCGCGUGUCAGCACGGUGAUCGUAUCGGACAGGUGGGCGACGACAUUCAGAUUAUGUUCGACCAUCAGGAUCGUAUACUUCUGCGAGAUGCGCUUGAUCAGCGCGGCGACCUUGUCGAUGUCUUCAUGGCCCAUGCCGGCCAUCGGUUCGUCGAGCAGCAUCAUUUCCGGAUCGAGCGCCAGCGUGGUUGCGAUCUCCAGCGCCCGCUUGCGGCCAUACGGCAUUUCCACCGCCGGCGUA
This 436-nucleotide unclassified non-coding RNA is filed under the name Hevea brasiliensis (rubber tree). The record is from RNAcentral. Lineage: Eukaryota; Viridiplantae; Streptophyta; Magnoliopsida; Malpighiales; Euphorbiaceae.